RNAcentral lists this long non-coding RNA (353 nucleotides) under Hordeum vulgare. RNAcentral's name for it is "long non-coding RNA (HVUL_LNC018827)". The record is from RNAcentral. Lineage: Eukaryota; Viridiplantae; Streptophyta; Magnoliopsida; Poales; Poaceae.
CCUUGUAUCUUAUAGAGUUUAAUUCCUUUUGCUGUGAUUCUUGCUGGUGCUUGUAGUGUUCUUGGUUGGAAACAGCCACAUAUAUUAUUUGUCAUGUUUGAAGGCCUGUAGCUAUGUUGCAUGCAGCUCCCAAAUAGCUAAGAUGCAGAUUAUGGCAGAUUAUGUAGUUUUGUCAUUUUGAUCAAUGUGUGUGCUUAAUUGAUGUUGUGGUGUUCUCCCUUGCUCCAAUCCAUUCAUGUUGGGUUGUUACAGGUCUUGGCAACCUGGGAAUACCAGAUUUGUGCCAUUGGGGUGUGUGGUGUUGAAUCUUCCACGUAGAGCUUCAUAUCUUGUUCCAUUGAUUCCCGUUGAUC